Molecule: ribosomal RNA, 468 nt
Filed under: uncultured bacterium
Lineage: Bacteria
Description: partial 16S ribosomal RNA
Rfam family: Bacterial small subunit ribosomal RNA
Source: RNAcentral
GACGAACGCUGGCGGCGUGCUUAACACAUGCAAGUCGAACGGAAAGGCCCUGCUUUUGUGGGGUGCUCGAGUGGCGAACGGGUGAGUAACACGUGAGUAACCUGCCCUUGACUUUGGGAUAACUUCAGGAAACUGGGGCUAAUACCGGAUAGGAGCUCCUGCUGCAUGGUGGGGGUUGGAAAGUUUCGGCGGUUGGGGAUGGACUCGCGGCUUAUCGGCUUGUUGGUGGGGUAGUGGCUUACGAAGGGUUUGACGGGUAGCCGGCAUGAGAGGGUGACCGGCCACAUGGGGACUGCGGGACGGCCCAGUCGCCUACGGGACGCAGCAGUGGGGAAUAUUGCGCAAUGGGGGGAAGCCAGAUGCAGCAGCGCCGCGUGCGGGAUGACGGCCUUCGGGUUGUAAACCGCUGUCGCCUGUGACGAAGCGUGAGUGACGGUAAUGGGUAAAGAAGCACCGGCUAACUACGUG